ACUCUUGAUUCUCUAUUUGCUAUAUUAGAAAUUGUUGAUCAGAUGCUUCUUGAGCAGGAGGAGGACUUCCAUAAGAGGGAAAAUGAAUGAAAUCCCCAAGGGAUAGCAAUUCCGUCCUGGUCCCCUACAGCAGCAAGGUGCUUCUCAGGGGAGCCACUCUUCUCUCCCUCGACCUCUGCAUGGGUUCGAUGCUGUCAUUGGUCACAGAAAAUGGAGGGAAAAAGAAGUGCCAACUCUUUCUUCACGCCAAAGUUUCCAAUGACGCUUCUCAUCCUGUGUUGUAGCCAUUACAAGCUAGCAACAGACCAUAAUACCCUGACCAUUCCUGGAUGCUGGAA
Long non-coding RNA from Apodemus sylvaticus (European woodmouse), 338 nucleotides. RefSeq lists it as uncharacterized. NCBI's taxonomy places the organism in Eukaryota, Metazoa, Chordata, Mammalia, Rodentia, Muridae. The transcript is spliced from 3 exons. The record is from RefSeq and is a predicted model, not a curated record.